RNAcentral lists this ribosomal RNA (497 nucleotides) under uncultured bacterium. Its description in RNAcentral is "partial 16S ribosomal RNA". It matches the Rfam family "Bacterial small subunit ribosomal RNA", at positions 29 to 507 of the family's 1533-position model. The record is from RNAcentral.
AGUGAACGCUGGCGGUAGGCCUAACACAUGCAAGUCGAACGACCGCACAGUAAGCGCUUGCUCUUACGGGUGGCGGGUGGCGGACGGGUGAGACAUACAUCGCCUACUACUUUUUCUUGGGUGACAUCGGGGGGACGCAUCUGCUACUACCUCAUACGUUCUACGGGUGGAAUCAGAAGAUCUUCGCACCUUGGCCGACUGUUUUAGAUGAUUCCGUGUUGGAUUAGCUAGUUGGUAAGGUAACGGCCUACCAAGGCAACGAUGCGUAGCUGAUCUGAGAGGAUGAUCAGCCACACUGGAACUGAGACACGGUCCAGACUCCUACGGGAGGCAGCAGUGGGGAAUAUUGGACAAUGGGCGAAAGCCUGAUCCAGCCAUACCGCGUGGGUGAUGAAGGCCUUCGGGUUGUAAAGCCCUUUUGUUGGGAAAGAAAAGCAGCAUGUUAAUCCCCCGCUGUUCUGACGGUACCCAAAGAAUAAGCACCGGCUAACUUCGUG